ACGGGAGGCAGCAGUGGGGAAUAUUGGGCAAUGGGCGAAAGCCUGACCCAGCGACGCCGCGUGAGGGAAGACGGUCUUCGGAUUGUAAACCUCUGUUGUAAAGGACGAAAGAGAUGACGGUACUUUACGAGGAAGCCACGGCUAACUACGUGCCAGCAGCCGCGGUAAUACGUAGGUGGCGAGCGUUAUCCGGAUUUACUGGGUGUAAAGGGUGUGUAGGCGGGUCUGCAAGUUAGAUGUGAAAAUUAUGGGCUUAACUCAUAACCUGCAUUUAAAACUACGGAUCUUGAGGUUCGGAGGGGUAAACGGAAUUCCUGGUGUAGCGGUGAAAUGCGUAGAUAUCAGGAGGAACACCGGUGGCGAAGGCGGUUUACUGGACGAAUACUGACGCUGAGACACGAAAGCGUGGGGAGCAAACAGGAUUAGAUACCCUGGUA
This 437-nucleotide ribosomal RNA is filed under the name uncultured Oscillospiraceae bacterium. Its description in RNAcentral is "bacterial SSU rRNA". It matches the Rfam family "Bacterial small subunit ribosomal RNA", at positions 341 to 792 of the family's 1533-position model. RNAcentral also lists the same sequence under 1 other name. The record is from RNAcentral. Lineage: Bacteria; Bacillati; Bacillota; Clostridia; Eubacteriales; Oscillospiraceae.